GUAAAUUCAUAAUAUAUCAUCAUGCACAUAUACCACUAGCAUCACAUGAUUUGUCAACAUACAUAUAGUCAUUAUCCAAAAUAGUCCAUACUUAGCAUCUCAUGCAUUCUUUUAGCACUUAAUUCAUUAUGCAUUACAUUUAGCAUAUUCUACAACAUGUCAUCAUACAUUCCUUUUAUGAUGUUCUUAUAAUGCUAACAUUCAUACGCCCUUUAUAUUAUGCAUUCAAAGCAUUAAUCAUAUGCAUUCAUCUAGCAUUUCUAUAGUAUGUUAACAUGCAUUCUUUUCACAUUCUUAUAUUAUGUCAAUAUGCAUCAAUAUGAAAUCUCAUUUCUUAGACAUAAAGGGCGACCUAGUCGCUUCGGUAAGCACAACCCACCUCAUUUCGCAUUCCGAUUGCUUGUCGACACUUGCAAUCGGCCGCCCGCGGCACCCGUAUCCAGCACGGCCCGAUACUGCAACUGCGCCUCAACCGUGCUCCGCUUCGCAGCCCCGAAAAUUAUAGGUCUUCGGUUAUGUGCCACGAUGCCUCAAAUCCAUUUCCACGAUUUUACAACGUCGCCUCGGCCCUCCCGGCGGACCCGAAGCCUAAACGUCCAUUUCUUUAAUAACUUUGUAACGGCUCGUCGGAUUGCCGAACCGUCUUCGCAAACGCGUUCAUUCACCUAGCAAUUUGGUUUACGGAGGGUCAAAUUAGAUCAAACCCUCAUAUUUACCAAAUUAGCAUUUUUGAGCCCUAGAUUACAACUAGGUAAAAAUUCACCAUUAGAACCUUGGUUUCAAGCAUCAAACCUCUAAUUAGCAUGCUAGAAUAACUCUAAAUCUAUUUUUGAAGCUUAAAAUCCAAACAACAAAGAGAUACCAUUAAAGGAUUUUGAAGCUUACCUUCAAACCUUGCUCCAAUGGAGAGGAAGAAGAUGGAGAAGAUGGAAAUCCACCUUAGAGCUUCGAUCUCCACCAAAAUCAUCUCUUUUUUGGAAGAGAUUUAUAGAGAGAAAGGAGAGCUUUCUCCUUUCCCUUCCAUGCGUGUAUGGUGUGCGUGUGUGUGUGCGGUUGUGGUGUGCACGGCUGAAGAGAAGAAGAGAAAAAGGGAUUAAAUCCCAUUUUACAAAUCAGCUCCUCAACACUGUACUAUUCACCUCGGGCAGCUUGAAAUCUGAUACGUUUCGUUGGAGCCUUUCUAAAUGUCCGAUAGAGCUCAAAUUUGACAAGCAUGCUCAGUUUAACGUACUGAGUAAGAAUAUGUCUUAAGUUUCCAGUUUUGACCCCGUUUGGUCACCGAAAACUGUAUCGAACUGUAAUCUUUAUCAGAUAGCUGUCAGAUUUUAUUUCUCACUCUACAGGUGUCAGAAAAAUAUGAAACUUAAAAUCUAGCCUCAUAAAAAUAUUUCUGACUUAUCCUCCAAUUUUUAUAAUUUUCUGAGACUGUGCAUUUUCUACUAAUUUAUCUGUCCCGUUUCCAACAGAAAAUUCUAGAUCUUCUGCUUUCAUUCCGAUUUCAGCACAAGUCACUUCUGACUUAUGUUUUACUUCUAUAAAUCCAAUAAAAAUAGUUUCUCACACUAUUUUUAUUUAUUUUUUUAUUUUUAUACCAAAAUCUGGUAUGUUACGCAUAAUCUGCAUUUAUUUAAUGUUGAGCAUACUCCUUG
Molecule: long non-coding RNA, 1649 nt
Filed under: Ananas comosus (pineapple)
Lineage: Eukaryota; Viridiplantae; Streptophyta; Magnoliopsida; Poales; Bromeliaceae
Description: long non-coding RNA (ACOM_LNC040780)
Source: RNAcentral